GAACGAACGCUGGCGGCGUGGAUUAGGCAUGCAAGUCGAACGGACACUUAGCUUUUUCGAGUGUUAGUGGCGAAAGGGUGAGUAACACGUGGGUUACCUGCCCUAGGUUCGGGAUAACUUGUCGAAAGACGGGCUAAUACCGGAUACGUUCUUAUUCUUUAACUGGAGUAAGAGGAAAGAUGGGGACCUCGCAAGAGGCCUGUCACCCUUGGUUGGGCCCGCGGCCUAUCAGCUAGUUGGUGAGGUAAUGGCUCACCAAGGCUAAGACGGGUAGCUGGUCUGAGAGGAUGGUCAGCCACACUGGGACUGAGACACUGCCAGACUCUACGGGAGCAGCAGUGGGGAAUCUUGCGCAAUGGGCGAAAGCCUGACGCAGCGACG
RNAcentral lists this ribosomal RNA (381 nucleotides) under uncultured bacterium. Its description in RNAcentral is "bacterial SSU rRNA". It matches the Rfam family "Bacterial small subunit ribosomal RNA", at positions 27 to 396 of the family's 1533-position model. The record is from RNAcentral.